Triplophysa dalaica is the source of this 137-nucleotide small nucleolar RNA. RefSeq annotates it as small nucleolar RNA SNORA15. Lineage: Eukaryota; Metazoa; Chordata; Actinopteri; Cypriniformes; Nemacheilidae. The record is from RefSeq and is a predicted model, not a curated record. The transcript has a single exon.
GCAUGGCUGAAUUCUGUGUUACUCUGUCAGUGAGAAAGACAGCCAGACACCAUGCCACAUCAUCAGCAUCACUCCUCACAUGUGUCACGGUGGUAUCACACCAUUGCCAUCACUUCUGCAUGAGAGAUGCCACACAU